GCCGGUUUCCCUAGAUGAUCUUCACCGGUUGUCCUGGGUGACCGGCACGUUUACUUUGAAAAAAUUAGAGUGCUCAAAGCAGGCGUGUAGCCUGAAUAAUGGUGCAUGGAAUAAUGGAAUAGGACUUCGUUUCUAUUUUGUUGGUUUUCGGAACACGAGGUAAUGAUUAAGAGGGACAGACGGGGGCAUUCGUAUUGCGACGCUAGAGGUGAAAUUCUUGGACCGUCGCAAGACGAACUACUGCGAAAGCAUUUGCCAAGAAUGUUUUCAUUGAUCAAGAACGAAAGUUAGAGGUUCGAAGGCGAUCAGAUACCGCCCUAGUUCUAACCAUAAACGAUGCCAACCAGCGAUCCGCCUGAGUUCCUCAAAUGACUCG
This 376-nucleotide ribosomal RNA is filed under the name Monocentropus sp. ZSM-A 2017/0076. Its description in RNAcentral is "SSU rRNA". It matches the Rfam family "Eukaryotic small subunit ribosomal RNA", at positions 702 to 1078 of the family's 1831-position model. The record is from RNAcentral. Lineage: Eukaryota; Metazoa; Arthropoda; Arachnida; Araneae; Theraphosidae.